This 492-nucleotide ribosomal RNA is filed under the name uncultured bacterium. RNAcentral's name for it is "partial 16S ribosomal RNA". It matches the Rfam family "Bacterial small subunit ribosomal RNA", at positions 29 to 507 of the family's 1533-position model. The record is from RNAcentral.
AGUGAACGCUGGCGGUAGGCCUAACACAUGCGAGUCGAACGGCAGCACAGUAAGAGCUUGCUCUUACGGGUGGCGAGUGGCGGACGGGUGAGGAAUACAUCGGAAUCUACUUUUUCGUGGGGGAUAACGUAGGGAAACUUACGCUAAUACCGCAUACGACCUACGGGUGAAAGCAGGGGAUCUUCGGACCUUGCGCGAUUGAAUGAGCCGAUGUCGGAUUAGCUAGUUGGCGGGGUAAAGGCCCACCAAGGCGACGAUCCGUAGCUGGUCUGAGAGGAUGAUCAGGCACACUGGAACUGAGACACGGUACAGACUCCUACGGGAGGCAGCAGUGGGGAAUAUUGGACAAUGGGCGCAAGCCUGAUCCAGCCAUACCGCGUGGGUGAAGAAGGCCUUCGGGUUGUAAAGCCCUUUUGUUGGGAAAGAAAAGCAGCAGGUUAAUACCCCGCUGUUCUGACGGUACCCAAAGAAUAAGCACCGGCUAACUUCGUG